This 455-nucleotide ribosomal RNA is filed under the name uncultured bacterium. RNAcentral's name for it is "bacterial SSU rRNA". It matches the Rfam family "Bacterial small subunit ribosomal RNA", at positions 340 to 786 of the family's 1533-position model. The record is from RNAcentral.
UACGGAAGGCAGCAGUGGGGAAUAUUGCACAAUGGGCGAAAGCCUGAUGCAGCUAUGCCGCGUGUAUGAAGAAGGCCUUAGGGUUGUAAAGUACUUUCAUCGGGGAGGAAAAACAAAACUAAUAAUUUUAUUUCUUGACGUUACCCGAAAAAGAAGCACCGGCUAACUCCGUGCCAGCAGCCGCGGUAAUACGGAGGGUGCUAGCGUUAAUCAGAAUUACUGGGCGUAAAGAGCACGUAGGUGGUUUUUUUAAGUCAGAUGUGAAAUCCCUGGGCUUAACCUAGGAACUGCAUUUUGAAACUGAAAUACUAGAGUAUCGUAGAGGGAGGUAGAAUUCUAGGUGUAGCGGUGAAAUGCGUAGAUAUCUGGAGGAAUACCUGUGGCGAAGGCGGCCUCCUAAACGAAUACUGACACUGAGGUGCGAAAGCGUGGGGAGCAAACAGGGAUUAGAUACC